RNAcentral lists this ribosomal RNA (253 nucleotides) under uncultured bacterium. RNAcentral's name for it is "partial 16S ribosomal RNA". It matches the Rfam family "Bacterial small subunit ribosomal RNA", at positions 524 to 776 of the family's 1533-position model. The record is from RNAcentral.
UACAGAGGUGGCAAGCGUUGUUCGGAAUUACUGGGCGUAAAGGGCGCGUAGGCGGUUCGUUAAGUCCUGUGUGAAAUCCCCCGGCUCAACUGGGGAACUGCACAGGAAACUAGCGGGCUUGAGUUCGGGAGAGGGAAGCGGAAUUCCGGGUGUAGCGGUGAAAUGCGUAGAUAUCAGGAGGAACACCAAUUGCGAAGGCAGCUCGCUGGGACGUUACUGACGCUGAGACGCGAAAGCGUGGGGAGCAAACAGG